AGUGAAGAAGGCCUUACGGGUUGUAAAGCUCUUUCAGACGGAAAGAAAUCGCAUCUUCUAAUACAGGGUGUGGAUGACGGUACCGUAAGAAGAAGCACCGGCUAACUACGUGCCAGCAGCCGCGGUAAUACGUAGGGUGCGAGCGUUAAUCGGAAUUACUGGGCGUAAAGCGUGCGCAGGCGGUGAUGUAAGACAGAUGUGAAAUCCCCGGGCUCAACCUGGGAACUGCGUUUGUGACUGCAUCACUCGAGUACGGCAGAGGGAGGUGGAAUUCCGCGUGUAGCAGUGAAAUGCGUAGAUAUGCGGAGGAACACCGAUGGCGAAGGCAGCCUCCUGGGCCAGUACUGACGCUCAUGCACGAAAGCGUGGGGAGCAAACAGGAUUAGAUACCCUGGUAGUCCACGCCCUAAACGAUGUCAACUAGUUGUUCGGUGAGGAGACUCAUUGAGUAACGCAGCUAACGCGUGAAGUUGACCGCCUGGGGAGUACGGCCGCAAGGUUAAAACUCAAAGGAAUUGACGGGGAC
RNAcentral lists this ribosomal RNA (526 nucleotides) under uncultured bacterium. RNAcentral's name for it is "bacterial SSU rRNA". It matches the Rfam family "Bacterial small subunit ribosomal RNA", at positions 404 to 920 of the family's 1533-position model. The record is from RNAcentral.